AUGCACGCUGGCGGCGUGCCUAAUCCAUGCAAGUCGCGCGAACGGACGAGAAGCUUGCUUUUCUGAUGUUAGCGGCGGACGGGUGAGUAACACGUGGAUAACCUACCUAUAAGACUGGGAUAACUUCGGGAAACCGGAGCUAAUACCGGAUAAUAUUUUGAACCGCAUGGUUCAAAAGUGAAAGACGGUCUUGCUGUCACUUAUAGAUGGAUCCGCGCUGCAUUAGCUAGUUGGUAAGGUAACGGCUUACCAAGGCAACGAUGCAUAGCCGACCUGAGAGGGUGAUCGGCCACUCUGGAACUGAGACACGGUCCAGACUCCUACGGGAGGCAGCAGUAGGGAAUCUUCCGCAAUGGGCGAAAGCCUGACGGAGCAACGCCGCGUGAGUGAUGAAGGUCUUCGGAUCGUAAAACUCUGUUAUUAGGGAAGAACAUAUGUGUAAGUAACUGUGCACAUCUUGACGGUACCUAAUCAGAAAGCCACGGCUAACUACGUG
RNAcentral lists this ribosomal RNA (496 nucleotides) under uncultured bacterium. RNAcentral's name for it is "partial 16S ribosomal RNA". It matches the Rfam family "Bacterial small subunit ribosomal RNA", at positions 29 to 507 of the family's 1533-position model. The record is from RNAcentral.